UCAGUUUGUACCUGUGACUGACUCCUCCUCACAGCGUGUGAUUGGCUGCAGCGCGCACUUCCAGUCAAGUCAUUGGAUUGACCACCUCAGCAUUCGACCUUCUCGCUACGUGUCUCGCCUUGCCCUUCGGAUUUGUCAGCUUCCAAUUUCACAAUAAACCCGUAAUCUCCCGCAUUCUGGAUCCCAUCUCUGGUGUACUGCCCAAGUCUGACAGAAUACUUUGCCACGUCACAAUGGGCCCAGCGGAGAGCCUGUCCUCACUGCAAAGACGGGUCAAGCCAGCUGACUGUGCUUGUCUCCCAGCUACUAGAAGGACAAGCCCUCUGAAGCAAUCUACCCACCUCGCCUCCGCAAGCCUUGACCUCUCUCCCAGUGCCAGUAGCCUUGCCCGAGAAAUAUGACAAUCCUGAUCGCUGCUGUUCUUUUCUCAUGCAGUGUGGGCUGUAUAUAGACAAGCACCCCGAGAAGUUCCGCUCGGCGUCCUCCUGAGUGCGGUUUGUCAUCUCACUGCUGAAGGAAAGAGCACGAGAGUGGGUGACAGCCCUAUGGACCUACAACAGCCUCCUCCUGACAUGUGACUAGGAUUUUCUGGAGGCAUUCAAGGAGGUGUUCAAUCAUCCCGCAGUCGGCUGAAGCCUAGGAGAGUGCGUUUGCGACCUGUGGCAGGGGAACAAGUCCGCUGCUGAGUUCUUCCUGGAGUUCCGGAUGAUCGCCGCCGGUCUCUGGUGGACCAAUGACUGUUUGAGAAUCUUGUACAGAAGAGCUCUUAACCUGGAGCUACGGGACAAGAUGGCCACACGUGGAGGGGCUCGUUCCUUUGAAGAUUAUGUUUGACUCUCAGUCACCCUGGAUAACACAGUGAGAGAAUGGAGCCACCUUAGGGUCAGAUCCAACAUGCCCACCCACCAAGUCCCAAGUGCACAACCUCCUGCGGAACCAAUGCAGCUGGGACGUCUACCACUGAGAGAAGAUGUCGAUAUCAGCACCACCUUUUUCUCUAUUGUGGGGAUGCUCAACAUGUCCUCCAGAACUGUCCCGUCUGGCCGCCACUACAUAAGGACUCCGUACAGGUGGGAACCUCGGUUUUUUUGGACAUAACCCAAAAACAAGUAAUGGUUCCUUUUGUGUUACAGUGGGGUUUCGAAAGAGAGGCUGCGUACACCCUUCUGGGCUCUGGAGCUGCGGGUAACUUCAUCGACUAAUCCUUCGCUCGUAGGCUCCAUCUGCGAACCGAGCGGUUGGCCACCCCGAUAACCGUGCUAGGAGUGCACGGACAGCCUCUCCACGCCAAACAGGUUACACAUUGUACUCACCCAGUGAUGCUGCAGGCGGGAAUAUUCCAUUGUGAAACCAUUUCCUUGUUAAUCCUUCUGUACUCUUGUGACCCCCUCAUACUUGGGCACCCCUGGCUCUGCAUGCACAAUCCUGUGGUUGACUGGUGGACCGGGGAGCUGAUUACCUGAUCGGAGAGAUGCUUCUCUCACUGAUUAGCCCUGCCUUGUAAAGCUACCUCAGUAGAGAGCCCUGAGCCCAAAGAUCUGUGCUGCCUGAGUAUGGUGACCUGCUAGACAUCUUUAUAGGAAUUAUUCGACCUUUCAUCUCGCCCGUAGCCUCUAGUUUCUUGUUCAUCAAUAAGAAGGACGGGGGUCUUAAACCGUGUAUUGAUUAUCAAGCUUUAAAUGCCAUAACGGUAAAGCGCGGCAAACCUCUGCCGCUCAUCCAUUCUGCCGUUGAACAGCUUUGGUCCACCCCCAACUUCACAAAACUGGACCUCAGGAGUGCGUACAACCUUAUAUGAAUCCGGAAAGGGGAUGAAUGGAAGACAUCCUUCUUAACCAGCUCUGGUCAAUACGAGUACCAGGUCAUGCCUUAUGGUUUGGCAAACAGCCCGUCUAUCCUUCAGUCUUUUAUGUAUGAGGUUUUCAGGGAUAUACUGAAUCAUUUUGUCAUAGUUUAGAUAGAUGAUUAAAGGAGAGAAGUGUGAGUUUCACCAAACAUCUCUCAAGUUUCUAGGUUACCUCAUCCAACCAGGAGCAGUGGCGAUGGACGAGCAUAAGGUAACAGCGGUGCGCGACUGGCUCACUCCCUGAACCAUCAAGGAACUUCAGAGGUUUUUGGGAUUCACAAACUUCUACCGGAGAACCAUCCGUAAUUUCAGCCACCUGGUGGCUCCUAUGACCAGCCUCACUUGCGGGUAGUGUUCCCUUCUGAGAGCAUUCUGCUCUGCUCCAGCGCUUCAACAGCCGGAUCCGGAGCGCCCCUUCGAGUGACAAGGUCCCGUCUUUGAUGUACUGCCCAAGUCUGACAUUUGGGAUCAUUGUCUUGCUGAAAUGUCCACCCUCGUUUCAUCUUCAGCACCCUGGUAGAUGGCAGCGAAUUCCUAUAAAGUGAAAAUAUAUGACUGAAGCCUGGCUACACCUGAUAGCCAUUUCAGGGAGGUUUUCCAUGGAACUAACUACAGGUACAGGAACUAGCUAGCCAUGAACAGAAAUGAGAUCUUGAUAAUAUUGCAUAUCCCACUGACAGAAAUACAACAAUCAAUUAAAUAAGCAAUACAGUAUGUCAGAAUUCAGAAAUCCUUUGCACAGAGGCUGCGCCACGCCAGACUGAAAAAGGAAACCAGUUCUACACAAGGCAUUUGGGUUUUGAACUCAAAUCUAAAGUGUCUGUUAUCCAAAUCCAAAGUCCUCUUUCAUUUCACUCCUUCAGUUUUUUUUUCUUAAAGAAAACAGGCCAAUGAUAGCUGUUUAGCCACGAUUGCACUUAACAUUGAUCAAGCAGCUGCUGCACAAAAUCAGUGAUGUGUUCAAGACCAUCUGUUUCGAGAUUAAGAAAAGAUCACGACUCAUCCAGUCCAAGACCAAGUCAAGACCAAGACCCAUCCCAACCAUGAGCAAGUCUAGAUCAAGACUUUUAAUCAAGACCAAUACUUGAAAAUUCACAAUCAGAAUUUAGAUUUUUUUUUGGUACCCAUGCACCCAUAUUAUGGUUAUAUUUUCAUUUAUGUAAUUCCAAAAGACCCUGUUAUUGAAAAACUUUAAUGUUCACAUACUUUAAGCAAUAAUGCAUAUAUGUAAAAACACACACAAUACAACAAAGUGACAUACAUAAAGCCCUGCCCCAGCUCCCUAAUUGCGAUAGUAAAUCACAACACUAUCAAUCAACACUUAAACACUAGCACCAAUGUCCAAAACAGUCCAUUAUAUACAGGAUGAUUGUUUUCUGAAGAAUAGGCAGUGUUAAAUGACAGUCCAUAUCUAUUAAUUGAUAUGGUUACAGCAAGAUAUGUACAGCUAUUACAUGAAUGUGCUUUGCUAAAUUAAUUUUGGUCUAUAUCAUAAGAACAUUAGAGAGCUGUAAAAUAUUAUGGGAAUGAAGCAUGUAAUUUAAGGUUAUUUGUAACCAUAUAUAAAGAUAAAAAUGAAAGAGAAAUGCUUGAUAUUAACACACCAUUACAAACAAACAUCUAAUACACUUGUUUUGAUCUAAAUUUGGCUUUAAAAUGUUUCUAUGGACAACAUUACUGAAACUGUCCCCUUCAUAAGCUGCAAUUUUUUUAAUGACAUUAUGUGAAACGUUAGUUAGCCUAAUGUAGCCC
Molecule: long non-coding RNA, 3598 nt
Organism: Brienomyrus brachyistius
Lineage: Eukaryota; Metazoa; Chordata; Actinopteri; Osteoglossiformes; Mormyridae
Exons: 4
Source: RefSeq, a predicted model, not a curated record